Molecule: ribosomal RNA, 253 nt
Filed under: uncultured bacterium
Lineage: Bacteria
Description: partial 16S ribosomal RNA
Rfam family: Bacterial small subunit ribosomal RNA
Source: RNAcentral
UACGUAGGGGGCAAGCGUUGUCCGGAAUCAUUGGGCGUAAAGAGCGCGUAGGCGGUCCGGUAAGUCCGCUCUGAAAGCCCGGGGCUCAACCCCGGGAGGCGGGCGGAUACUGUCGGGCUAGAGUCCGGAAGAGGCGAGUGGAAUUCCUGGUGUAGCGGUGAAAUGCGCAGAUAUCAGGAGGAACACCAGUGGCGAAGGCGGCCUGCUGGCUGACAACUGACGCUGAGGCGCGAAAGCAUGGGGAGCGAACGGG